This 275-nucleotide ribosomal RNA is filed under the name Synergistaceae bacterium. RNAcentral describes it as "partial 16S ribosomal RNA". It matches the Rfam family "Bacterial small subunit ribosomal RNA", at positions 1 to 279 of the family's 1533-position model. The record is from RNAcentral. Lineage: Bacteria; Thermotogati; Synergistota; Synergistia; Synergistales; Synergistaceae.
UGAGCUGAGAGUUUGAUCCUGGCUCAGGACGAACGCUGGCGGCGUGCUUAACACAUGCAAGUUGUACGCUGAAUGUUCCGAAGUAGCAAUACGGAGGGACAGGAGGAGUAGCGGACGGGUGAGUACAACAUGAGAACCUAUCCUUCAAAGGGGGAUAACGUUUGGAAACGGACGCUAAUACCCCAUGAGCCGAGAGGUAAAAGCAGAGAUGCGAUGAAGGAGGGGCUCGUGUCCUAUCAGCUGGAUGGUGAGGUAACGGCCCACCAUGGCGAUGA